AUACGGAGGAUCCGAGCGUUAUCCGGAUUUAUUGGGUUUAAAGGGAGCGUAGGCGGACGCUUAAGUCAGUUGUGAAAGUUUGCGGCUCAACCGUAAAAUUGCAGUUGAUACUGGGUGUCUUGAGUACAGUAGGGGCAGGCGGAAUUCGUGGUGUAGCGGUGAAAUGCUUAGUUAUCACGAAGAACUCCGAUUGCGAAGGCAGCUUGCUGGACUGUAACUGACGCUGAUGCUCGAAAGUGUGGGUAUCAAACAGGAUUAGAUACCCUGGUAGUACACACAGUAAACGAUGAAUACUCGCUGUUUGCGAUAUACAGUAAGCGGCCAAGCGAAAGCGUUAAGUAUUCCACCUGGGGAGUACGCCGGCAACGGUGAAACUUAAAGGAAUUGACGGGG
RNAcentral lists this ribosomal RNA (393 nucleotides) under uncultured bacterium. RNAcentral describes it as "partial 16S ribosomal RNA". It matches the Rfam family "Bacterial small subunit ribosomal RNA", at positions 523 to 918 of the family's 1533-position model. The record is from RNAcentral.